AAAUUGUAUUAGGUCCAGACGGAAAAAUCAGAAAUCGUCGGAAGCCAUGGAUUGUCACUUUGCAGCAACAACAGAAAUGGCGAUUCUAUCAUAUUUCAGGCUUUGGUAGGUGCAGGGUGGUGUACAUUUAAGGAUGACAAUGAGAUUGAGAGAGGGGAAAAUAUUAAGACAGAAUUAGAGAAUGCAAUUAUAAAUUCGAGGAGUUCAAUAAUUAUCCUCUCGAAGAACUAUGCUACUUCAACAUGGUGCCUUGAUGAACUUGUUAAAAUCCUUGAACAUAAGAGGACAAAAGGGCAUGCAAUUCUUCCUGUCUUCUACCAUGUGGAUCCUUCUGAAGUUAGAGAUCAGAAAAAGAGUUUUGCAGAAGCAUUUACGAGAUAUGAGAGGCAAAUUGAAGCUGAAAGUGAUGAAGGAAAGAGGGAGUGGAUGGAUAAGGUCCAAAAAUGGAGAGCAGCUCUUGGAGAGGUUGCAGAUUUGGGUGGUGUUCUAGUAAACAAUCAAGAGGAUAUGAAGGAAUCAGAGUUCAUUGAAGAAAUUCUUCAACUCAUUGAGGAUAAAUUGAACCGCACAAUAUCAAGUGUUGCACCUUACCUGGUUGGGAUCAGUUCACGGGUCAAAAAUAUCAUUUCAUGGUUGCAAGACGGAUC
This is a long non-coding RNA of Solanum tuberosum (potato), 647 nucleotides long. RefSeq lists it as uncharacterized. Lineage: Eukaryota; Viridiplantae; Streptophyta; Magnoliopsida; Solanales; Solanaceae. The record is from RefSeq and is a predicted model, not a curated record. The transcript has 3 exons.